RNAcentral lists this ribosomal RNA (253 nucleotides) under uncultured bacterium. RNAcentral describes it as "partial 16S ribosomal RNA". It matches the Rfam family "Bacterial small subunit ribosomal RNA", at positions 524 to 776 of the family's 1533-position model. The record is from RNAcentral.
UACGUAGGCAGCAAGCGUUGUUCGGAAUUACUGGGCGUAAAGAGUGCGUAGGCGGUGUCGAAAGUUUGGCGUGAAAUCUCCCGCUUAACUGGGAGGGUGCGCCGAAAACUGCGAUGCUGGAGUGUGGGAAAGGCAAGCGGAAUUCCUGGUGUAGCGGUGGAAUGCGCAGAUAUCAGGAGGAACACCGAUGGCGAAGGCAGGUCACUGGGCCGCAACUGACGCUGGAGGAGCGAAAGCAUGGGGAGCGAACAGG